GGUUCCGUGUAAGUUGAUGCGGGAUCUGGCCUGCCCAAUGAUAUUUGUUGAAUGGCCGCGGUAUUUUGACCGUGCAAAGGUAGCAUAAUCAUUAGUCUUUUAAUUGGGGUCUGGAAUGAAUGGUUGAACGAGGGAAAAGCUUUCUUUGGGUUAUUUAUUUGAAUUUUAYUUUUUAGUGAAAAGGCUAAAAUUGUCUUGGGGGACGAUAAGACCCUAUAGAUCUUUAUAUUUCUAUUUACUAACCAAGUAAUUAGGGGUAUUUUGUUGGGGCGACAAGGAGAUAUAAUAAACUCUCUUAAUAAUAAGUUACUUAUUGGUAUGUGGAGGAUCCAUGUGUUAAUGAUUGUUAGAUUAAGUUACCUUAGGGAUAACAGCGUGAUUUCUUUUGAGAGUUCAUAUCGACAAAGGAGAUUGCGACCUCGAUGUUGGAUUAAAGGAUUCUUUACGGUGUAGCAGUUGUGAAGGAAAGUCUGUUCGACUAUUAAAUCUUUACA
RNAcentral lists this ribosomal RNA (494 nucleotides) under Prosthecina addititia. Its description in RNAcentral is "partial 16S ribosomal RNA". It matches the Rfam family "Bacterial large subunit ribosomal RNA", at positions 1819 to 2600 of the family's 2925-position model. The record is from RNAcentral. Lineage: Eukaryota; Metazoa; Arthropoda; Insecta; Zygentoma; Nicoletiidae.